RNAcentral lists this transfer RNA (75 nucleotides) under Planctomycetaceae bacterium. Its description in RNAcentral is "tRNA-Pro". It matches the Rfam family "tRNA". From Rfam's summary of the family: Transfer RNA (tRNA) molecules are approximately 80 nucleotides in length. Their secondary structure includes four short double-helical elements and three loops (D, anti-codon, and T loops). RNAcentral also lists the same sequence under 1 other name. Lineage: Bacteria; Pseudomonadati; Planctomycetota; Planctomycetia; Planctomycetales; Planctomycetaceae. The record is from RNAcentral.
CGGGCCAUAGCGCAGUCUGGUUAGCGCGCCUGACUGGGGGUCAGGAGGUCGGAGGUUCGAAUCCUCUUGGCCCGA